This 579-nucleotide ribosomal RNA is filed under the name Hanseniaspora opuntiae. RNAcentral's name for it is "partial large subunit ribosomal RNA". It matches the Rfam family "Eukaryotic large subunit ribosomal RNA", at positions 78 to 664 of the family's 3401-position model. The record is from RNAcentral. Lineage: Eukaryota; Fungi; Ascomycota; Saccharomycetes; Saccharomycodales; Saccharomycodaceae.
CCUUAGUACGGCGAGUGAAGCGGUAAAAGCUCAAAUUUGAAAUCUGGUACUUUCAGUGCCCGAGUUGUAAUUUGUAGAAUUUGUCUUUGAUUAGGUCCUUGUCUAUGUUCCUUGGAACAGGACGUCAUAGAGGGUGAGAAUCCCGUUUGGCGAGGAUACCUUUUCUCUGUAAGACUUUUUCGAAGAGUCGAGUUGUUUGGGAAUGCAGCUCAAAGUGGGUGGUAAAUUCCAUCUAAAGCUAAAUAUUGGCGAGAGACCGAUAGCGAACAAGUACAGUGAUGGAAAGAUGAAAAGAACUUUGAAAAGAGAGUGAAAAAGUACGUGAAAUUGUUGAAAGGGAAGGGCAUUUGAUCAGACAUGGUGUUUUUUGCAUGCACUCGCCUCUCGUGGGCUUGGGCCUCUCAAAAAUUUCACUGGGCCAACAUCAAUUCUGGCAGUAGGAUAAAUCAUUAAGAAUGUAGCUACCUCGGUAGUGUUAUAGCUUAUUGGAAUACUGCUAGCUGGGAUUGAGGACUGCGCUUCGGCAAGGAUGUUGGCAUAAUGGUUAAAUGCCGCCCGUCUUGAACCACGGGACCAAAA